Molecule: long non-coding RNA, 689 nt
Filed under: Mustela putorius furo (domestic ferret)
Lineage: Eukaryota; Metazoa; Chordata; Mammalia; Carnivora; Mustelidae
Description: lncRNA (ENSMPUG00000031284.1)
Source: RNAcentral
CCAAUCCCUAAGUCAUAGUUUUCCGCCUACCAUCCCCAACUCCUCUCCAAGAUGGCGCCCGGGCGUGGUUUAUGCAACCUCAUAAUGGGAGUGCAACCCUGGGGCUCACAGACAGAAAGCCAGGUCAGUGCUGGUGUCAAAAGCAACAGCCAUGAUCCACCUAAUUGCAGACUGACCUGCUAGAGCUGGCAUCUGAAGUCUGCAACCAGUGAAACUUGAGGUCCAGUUUGCAAGCCUGUGGUCUUACUGAGGAGGUCAAGUACUUGUCCUCUGGGAUAAUUAACUUGUUGGAGGUAAGAAGCAAACCUUCUAGCAACUUCACCCUUGGAGUCCGAGAAGGACGGGAAAUUCCCCUGGAAGCCCAGAAAGAACCGAGGCCAAACUCUGGGCUUUUUCUGAGCAAACAUUUUGAGAGAAACCAAAGUGAUGAUGAUGUGGAAGAACGGCCGGGGCUGUCCCCGCGAACAGCAGUGAGGCUUAUGAAAACACAGGGAUUAGUACCGAUGAAUCAUUGCCAGUCCUCUCCCUGACAGCGCUGGCUAGGGGCGAGCCGAGAAAUACCGGAUCUCCAAAAGCGCUGACGAGUUACCCACUAGGCCUGGGAGGUGGAUGGCUUUUGAAAUUGGUGGGAGGAGAAAGCGGGGAGUGAAGACACGGAGGCGUAACCCCCCUCCCCUUCCAGAAUUCAC